This 234-nucleotide unclassified non-coding RNA is filed under the name Hevea brasiliensis (rubber tree). The record is from RNAcentral. Lineage: Eukaryota; Viridiplantae; Streptophyta; Magnoliopsida; Malpighiales; Euphorbiaceae.
AGUGGCGAUGGGUACGUUUCUGUUGAAGUCUCACCUAGACUUGCUGAUGAUACAGAGGGGACUGUGGAGGCUGCAAAGUGGCUUCAUAAGAAGGUUGAACGUUCCAAUGUGUAUAUUAAAAUUCCCGCUACUGCUCCAUGCAUUCCUUCCAUCAAGGAAGUCAUUUCACUUGGAAUAAGUGUCAAUGUGACGCUUAUCUUUUCUCUUUCAAGAUAUGAAGCAGUCAUUGAUGCU